RNAcentral lists this ribosomal RNA (378 nucleotides) under uncultured bacterium. Its description in RNAcentral is "bacterial SSU rRNA". It matches the Rfam family "Bacterial small subunit ribosomal RNA", at positions 523 to 898 of the family's 1533-position model. The record is from RNAcentral.
AUACGGAGGGUGCAAGCGUUGUCCGGAAUUAUUGGGUGUAAAGGGUGUGCAGGCGGGGCGGUAAGUCAGGGGUGAAAGUCUACGGCUCAACCGUAGGAUGGCCUUUGAUACUGUCGUCCUUGAGUCCCGGAGAGGCCAUUAGAAUUCGUGGUGUAGCGGUGAAAUGCGUAGAUAUCACGAGGAAUACCGGAAGCGUAGGCGGAUGGCUGGACGGCGACUGACGCUCAGGCACGAAAGCGUGGGGAGCGAACAGGAUUAGAUACCCUGGUAGUCCACGCUGUAAACGAUGGAUGCUCGGUGUUCGACUCCGUUAGCGGGUUGAGUGCCCAAGUUAACGCGAUAAGCAUCCCACCUGGGGAGUACGCUCGCAAGAGUGAA